UACGGAGGGUGCUAGCGUUGUUCGGAAUUACUGGGCGUAAAGCGCACGUAGGCGGCUUUGUAAGUUAGAGGUGAAAGCCCGGGGCUCAACUCCGGAAUUGCCUUUAAGACUGCAUCGCUAGAAUUGUGGAGAGGUAAGUGGAAUUCCGAGUGUAGAGGUGAAAUUCGUAGAUAUUCGGAAGAACACCAGUGGCGAAGGCGACUUACUGGACACAUAUUAACGCUGAGGUGCGAAAGCGUGGGGAGCAAACAGG
RNAcentral lists this ribosomal RNA (253 nucleotides) under uncultured bacterium. RNAcentral's name for it is "partial 16S ribosomal RNA". It matches the Rfam family "Bacterial small subunit ribosomal RNA", at positions 524 to 776 of the family's 1533-position model. The record is from RNAcentral.